RNAcentral lists this ribosomal RNA (253 nucleotides) under uncultured bacterium. Its description in RNAcentral is "partial 16S ribosomal RNA". It matches the Rfam family "Bacterial small subunit ribosomal RNA", at positions 524 to 776 of the family's 1533-position model. The record is from RNAcentral.
GACGGAGGGUGCAAGCGUUGUUCGGAUUGACUGGGCGUAAAGGGCGUGUAGGCGGUUGGUCAAGUCGGGUGUGAAAGCCUGAGGCUCAGCCUCAGAAGUGCAUCCGAAACUAGCCAGCUAGAGCGCGAUAGAGGAGGGUGGAAUUCCUGGUGUAGCGGUGAAAUGCGUAGAUAUCAGGAGGAACACCGGCGGCGAAGGCGGCCCUCUGGCUCGUUGCUGACGCUGAGACGCGAAAGCGUGGGGAGCAAACAGG